RNAcentral lists this ribosomal RNA (482 nucleotides) under uncultured Phycisphaerales bacterium. RNAcentral's name for it is "bacterial SSU rRNA". It matches the Rfam family "Bacterial small subunit ribosomal RNA", at positions 523 to 1003 of the family's 1533-position model. The record is from RNAcentral. Lineage: Bacteria; Pseudomonadati; Planctomycetota; Phycisphaerae; Phycisphaerales.
ACACGGAAGGCCCGAGCGUUAAUCGGAAUCACUGGGCUUAAAAGGGUGCGUAGGCGGAUGUGCAAGCGUCCUGUGAAAGCCCUCGGCUCAACCGAGGAAUAGCAGGGCGAACUGCAUGUCUUGAGGCAGGUAGGGGGCGACGGAACUGUCGGUGGAGCGGUGAAAUGCGUAGAUAUCGACAGGAACGCCAGUGGCGAAGGCGGUCGCCUGGGCCUGUCCUGACGCUGAGGCACGAAAGCGUGGGGAGCAAACAGGAUUAGAUACCCUGGUAGUCCACGCCGUAAACGAUGUGCACUAGAUCGGAGUAGAUCUGACUCUUUUUCGGUCGAAGGAAAACCAUUAAGUGCACCGCCUGGGGAGUAUGGUCGCAAGGCUAAAACUCAAAGGAAUUGACGGGGCUCACACAAGCGGUGGAGCAUGUUGCUUAAUUCGAGGCAACGCGAAGAACCUUACCUGGGUUUGACAUGCACGGAUUAACUCUU